Long non-coding RNA from Felis catus (domestic cat), 1699 nucleotides. RefSeq lists it as uncharacterized. The transcript is spliced from 2 exons. Lineage: Eukaryota; Metazoa; Chordata; Mammalia; Carnivora; Felidae. The record is from RefSeq and is a predicted model, not a curated record.
CUGAGCCGAAGUUGGACGCCCAACCCACUGCGCCACCCAGGCGCCCCCAUAACAUCUCUUAAACAGAUUGACUUUUUUUUCUUUUAACAUUUCUAGGUAAUGUCCUUGGGAUAAUUCUUAAGGCAAUCCUUUGUGUUUAUUAUCUGUUAGAUGCUAAAUAGAUGGGUUUUUUUGUUUGUUUUACCUUUAAGGUACUGAGUUUUUUUUUCUUUUUUUGAGAUGAAUAUUAUUCUAAAAUUUAAUUCUAGUGAUAGGUAAAGAACUUAUUGGCUUAAUAAUUACUGAAUGACAAAGUGCCAUAAUAAACACCUAAUUACCCAUGUGUCUUGUCAAAUUACGGUAUUACUUAAUGUUCAGAUGUUAAAGUGUUUAGGUUCUGUAAAAACAGUGUUUAGGUCUUUUUUUUUUAACUGAAAAAGGGAAAAAUCUUUUAAUUCAAAUCCAUUGUGUGUAUGCUGCAUAUUUUCGUGGUAGUUAAAUGUUUUAGUGCAACAGGCCCAAAAGGAUCAAUCACUCAUAUGCUUUGGAAUGGUUGGCUGAUAGAAGCACCAAACAGGGAGACCAUUAUGCUGCAGCAUUUCUUAUUAAUCAGACUUAGUCCCUCUACUGGAUUUUACAUUGCUCUUAGGUUUGGCACAGCCAUUAAUGUUGAUAUUGAAUGAAAUAGUCAUAACGAACAUUUAUCAAGUAUUUAUUAUGCUACAGAAAGGAUUAGAACUAACAUUUUUGAGGUUUCCUGUGUGUCAGGUGUUAAUAUGGUAGGCAGGGAAAUAGAUAAAUAAAAUCUGGAUUUUUGCCCUCAUUGAAUUCUCAAUCUAACAUUAGAAAUAAGUGGUUUUUUGAUAGUGAAGAACUUGGAAAUAUUGAUUUUUCUAUUAGGAGAAAAUAAUAUUUCCCAGAAGAGUGAGAAAACUAUUCAAAGUAAUAAUGACUUCAUUUUGAAGAGGAAUUUUUAUGUGUUAUGCUUAUUAACUUUUUAGCUCAGUGGUCUUGUGAUGUGACAAAGUAGCUGCAGUCUUAACUCAUUACCUCUGAAAUUUGUGUGUAAGAUAGAUUAUGUAAGAAAGAUAAAAGAUUUAGUGUCUUAAUUUAAAGCUAAGGAUCAGGUGAAUAUUGUAAACUUAGUGUUUCUGUAAAUUUAGCCUUCAUAUAUUGUAAAUAAAGUUUUACAUAUGAGUGAUACUUUAUUAUUUAUAGAAUUUGUAGGACUUUAAUCUUUUUUUAAAAAUCAUUUCUUUCUGUAGGAAGAGCUUCGAAAUGAGUAAUUUGUAACUAUUCAGCCCACUUGGGGUCAGGCUUUAAUGCAAGAGCCUGAGAUGUGUCAUUCUAAGUCAGAUAAAUUUCUGAUUAGAAGAGUCAGGGGCAUUUUAGGUGAAGCACACGGUUGUGGUUCCAAACUCCUCAAAUAACUUGUUAUUAACCUACUGAACUAUAAUUUUUAUUCUUUUCUUCUGUUAUUUGUGCUAAAAAUUGGAGAUUUUAUGGGUGAGAGGUCAAGGUAGGAGCAGUGAAAGGAUUGUAUAAACGUGUUGGUGUGUCGUUGCCUCUUACCAUCCUAUAUAUCUUGAGAAAGGCUGUCAUUCAAAGAUGUUGCAGCUACUGGUAAGUUAAGCUAGUCCUCAUAUGUUGCUUCACAAAAUUCUAAUGGGUGUGUGUGUGUGUGUGUAUGUCACUUUGAAAUCAUUUUAGACCUACAAGU